Long non-coding RNA from Hevea brasiliensis (rubber tree), 1251 nucleotides. RefSeq lists it as uncharacterized. The transcript is spliced from 4 exons. Lineage: Eukaryota; Viridiplantae; Streptophyta; Magnoliopsida; Malpighiales; Euphorbiaceae. The record is from RefSeq and is a predicted model, not a curated record.
UGGAUGAGGCUAAGAAAGCACAACUCAAGAAAAAGAAAGAAAUCAACAGAAUGCAUUUAGUUUUUAAUGAAAAGGAAGGGGAAGGGAGAAUAUGUCACCAUGAAGAAUUACUUGAAGUCUUAGAACCACACGCUGAUUUGGAGACUUUAAGAAUAAAGGGUUAUGAAGGUACAGUUUAUCCGGAUUGGAUCAUGUCAUUAAUUAAUCUGAAGCGUGUUCUGCUCGAUUAUUCUAAAAACUGUGAGAAAUUACCUCCUUUGGGAAAGUUGCCAUUCCUUGAAAUCCAUGAAUUGGAAUUAAUGGAACGCCUGAAAAAGUUGGGCGUUGAGUUUUUGGGAAUAGAAACUUCAAGUCAACAAGAGAUUUCGUCAUCAGUCAUCGUCUUCCCCAAAUUGACAACACUUAAAUUACGUUCCUUGAAGGAGUUGGAGGAGUGGGAUGAUGGAAUGAACAAAAAUGGAGAAGAAAAUGUUGCCAAUUUUACAAUCCUGCCAUGUCUUCGUUCUCUCUCUAUUUGGCAUUGCCCAAAGUUGAAGUUGGAGGCGUUACCAGAUUACCUUCUCCAGAAGAAUUAUCAAUUUCAAGGCUGCUUAACAAAAGAGGAAAGGAGGGAAAGGGCCAAACAAAUCUUGCAUCUCUAACCAUCAAAUAUUGGUAAUGAGCAUGUGCAAAGGUGAGACACCAACAGAUUCCACGGGAUUAGGGCAAAUGGGCAAAAUCUCCUUGGUCAAUCAAAGCAAUUGCGUCUUCAUGUGCAAAUCCUUCAUUGCCAUUAUGUUAUAUCCUUCACUGAAUCUUUCUGCUGCAACUAAAUACUCAAUGUUAGUUCAUACAUUUAAUAGAGAAUGCGCAAGUUCAAGGCGCCUUACACACUGAAAUUGGUUUUAAAGACUAAAUGGAUCAAUACAAUUUAGCCAGUUAAGGGUAAAUGAGCUAAAUCUACUUAUGGUGGAAUUAAGUAAUGAGAUCUUCAUUUGUGGUUCUAUUCAAUGGAGUUGUACAGGAAUCCUUGUUUGUCUUUGGAUUAGAGAACAGUACAUCAUUAUUGUAUUCUUCAUUUCUAAUUUGUGUAUGCGACAAAUGUGUGUGUGCGUGUGUUUGUGUGUAUCUUAAAAAGAUUCAUGGAUCAAUGCAAUUUAGUCAGUUACGCUGGUUAAACUAAUUGUAGACAUAAGAGGGCCUUCAAACGAGGCUCAAAACCUUGGGACAAUUGUUACAAUUCUGUGAGAAAUGCCAUACAUUUAUCAAUCA